RNAcentral lists this ribosomal RNA (469 nucleotides) under Afrocyclus isipingoensis. RNAcentral describes it as "partial 16S ribosomal RNA". It matches the Rfam family "Bacterial large subunit ribosomal RNA", at positions 1817 to 2563 of the family's 2925-position model. Lineage: Eukaryota; Metazoa; Mollusca; Gastropoda; Architaenioglossa; Cyclophoridae. The record is from RNAcentral.
CGCUCUUUGUAUAAAUAAAGAGUAAUACCUGCCCGGUGAAUAAUUAAACGGCCGCAGUAUCCUGACUGUGCUAAGGUAGCAUAAUAAUUUGCCUUUUAAUUGGUGGCUUGUAUGAAUGGUUUGACGGAAAUAUAGCUGUCUCUAAUAUAUUGGUUAUAAUUUAUCUUUUAGGUUAAAAUUCCUAAAUUAAAUUAAGGGACGAGAAGACCCUAUUGAAUUUUAAAAAAAUGUAUAAAUAAAAUUAUAUUUUUAAGAUUGUUUAUUUACACAGAAUUUUGGUUGGGGCAACCUAGGAACAGAAAAAGCUUCUUUAUUACUGAUAAAAUUACUUUUUUUGAUCCAAUAAAUAUUGAUAAUGGGAAUUAAUUACCAUAGGGAUAACAGCGUAAUUUUUCUUGAGAGAUCUAAUCGAAAGAGAAGCUUGCGACCUCGAUGUUGGAUUAAGAUGUUUCUAAAGGUUGCAGGAGCU